ACUCAAAGGAAUAGACGGGGGCCCGCACAAGCGGUGGAGCAUGUGGUUCAAUUCGACGCAACGCGAAGAACCUUACCUGGGCUCGAAGCGCAGUGGACCGGGGUGGAAACAUCCCUUUCCGCAAGGACUGCUGCGGAGGUGCUGCAUGGCUGUCGUCAGCUCGUGUCGUGAGAUGUUGGGUUAAGUCCCGCAACGAGCGCAACCCUUAUCGUUAGUUGCCAUCAGGUCAAGCUGGGCACUCUAGCGAAACCGCCUCGGAUAACGGGGAGGAAGGUGGGGAUGACGUCAAGUCCUCAUGGCCUUUAUGUCCAGGGCUACACACGUGCUACAAUGGUCGGUACAAACCGUUGCAAACCCGCGAGGGGGAGCUAAUCGGAAAAAGCCGGCCUCAGUUCGGAUUGGAGUCUGCAACCCGACUCCAUGAAGCUGGAAUCGCUAGUAAUCGCAGAUCAGAACGCUGCGGUGAAUACGUUCCCGGGCCUUGUACACACCGCCCGU
RNAcentral lists this ribosomal RNA (498 nucleotides) under uncultured bacterium. RNAcentral describes it as "bacterial SSU rRNA". It matches the Rfam family "Bacterial small subunit ribosomal RNA", at positions 899 to 1397 of the family's 1533-position model. The record is from RNAcentral.